Molecule: ribosomal RNA, 576 nt
Filed under: Paramoeba aestuarina
Lineage: Eukaryota; Discosea; Flabellinia; Dactylopodida; Paramoebidae
Description: partial Bacterial large subunit ribosomal RNA
Rfam family: Bacterial large subunit ribosomal RNA
Source: RNAcentral
GUAACUUCGGGAGAAGGUACGCCUCUGUUUGUGAACACUUCGCGUGGUAAGCAAAUGGAGGCCGCAGUGACCAGGUGGCUGGGACUGUUUAUUAAAAACACAGCACUCUGCAAACUCGUAAGAGGACGUAUAGGGUGUGACACCUGCCCGGUGCCGGAAGGUUAAUUGAUGGGGUUAGUUUUCGGACGAAGCUCUUGAUCGAAGCCCCGGUAAACGGCGGCCGUAACGAUAACGGUCCUAAGGUAGCGAAAUUCCUUGUCGGGUAAGUUCCGACCUGCACGAAUGGCGUAACGACUUCCCCACUGUCUCCAGGAUAUGCUCAGCGAAAUUGAAUUUCCCGUGAAGAUGCGGGAUACCCGCGGUUAGACGGAAAGACCCCGUGCACCUUUACUACAGCUUCGCACUGGCAUCAGGAUUGUGAUGUGCAGGAUAGGUGGUAGGCAUCGAAACCGUGACGCUAGUCGCGGUGGAGCCUUCCUUGAGAUACCACCCUUCGCACUCUUGAUGUCUAACCGCGGCCCAUUAUCUGGGUCCGGGACCCUGCGUGGCGGGUAGUUUGACUGGGGCGGUCGCCUC